UACGCAGGCGGCUCGUUAAGUCGGGUGUGAAAGCCCGGAGCUCAACUCCGGAAAUGCGCCCGAUACUGGCGGGCUUGAGUACAGGAGAGGGAAGCGGAAUUCCUGGUGUAGAGGUGAAAUUCGUAGAUAUCAGGAGGAACACCAGUGGCGAAAGCGGCUUCCUGGCCUGAUACUGACGCUCAUGUACGAAAGCGUGGGGAGCAAACA
RNAcentral lists this ribosomal RNA (207 nucleotides) under uncultured bacterium. RNAcentral describes it as "partial 16S ribosomal RNA". It matches the Rfam family "Bacterial small subunit ribosomal RNA", at positions 568 to 774 of the family's 1533-position model. The record is from RNAcentral.